Molecule: non-coding RNA, 45 nt
Organism: Schistosoma margrebowiei
Lineage: Eukaryota; Metazoa; Platyhelminthes; Trematoda; Strigeidida; Schistosomatidae
Source: Rfam
AUCCAGCUGACGAGUCCAAAAUAGGAUGAAACACGCGUUCUGAAU